GAAACAGGAAAACAAUGAUUGAAGGAUUUACAGCAUUUAACCAAUUAUGAGAAAAAUUUGAAACACAUUUACAUUUCUGAGGUAGAAUCUAAUAAAGAUGACGCAAAGAUUUCUACAUUUUUCUUCAACAUAAACAUAACAGGAAGUAAACAAUUCGUCCCGGAACCGUCCUAGACUGAAGGACCAGAUUGUUUCAACAAUUCUUCUUUCUAUUUGUGCCUUUGAGCAAAAAUUUAACCCUUACGACAAACUUUAAACGUCACCAAAAUCUGCAGGCACCUAGCGCCUGGUGAAAAAGAAUCUUGGACAUAACACAAAACAAAAACACACAAACAUCACAGUGGGAGAAACAAUCAGAAACAUUAACGGGGCCAAAAUCUGGUAUGGGACUCAAGAACAGUUCAAAAUCCACUAAGAAACCAAAGGAAGUUUUUAAAUUAUUAUGGGAUGGCCACAGGACCUACGGCUUGGUGGCCAUUUGACAACUUUCACAACGUGGUAAAAAAAACAUCAUUUUGUUCGCGCAACCUUCACUUAAUUUAACACGCAAACUACCAGGCUAAAUCUACAACCAAAGUCUCGCUGACCUUUGACCUCAGGAUGAGGCUGCCAUCUUGACACUCUCCCCUCCCCCCCCAAAAUAAAUCACCUUUCCACUCCGUAGGGAUUCCGAUCCAUCUCCUGGAACAUCAUUGGGGAAAAUGUUGGAAUAAGAAGUUGUAGAUUUUUAACAACAUUAGCGUGGUGAGCUGGCAAAAAUGGUGUUUCCCCUGUUGCUGAUGGGGCCGUAGUGCACAGGUAGAGCGGUCGACCUCUGAUCAUAAGAUUGCAGGUUUAAUUCCCGUCUUGUCCACCCCUGUUUCAGACACUAAACCUCACAUUGGCUCUGGUGUGUGAGUGUUUGAAUGUGUCUGUGUUUGUGUGUGUGUGUGUGUGAAUGGGACUGUGACUGUAAAGCGUUUUGUGCCUUAACGGAAGGCAGAAAAGCGCUACAUUUGUAUACCCCAUUUACCUUUUACAUUUUUUAUUGGAAUAUUGUUCAAAUGUAAUACAUGAAAACAACAUGACACAUGACAUACGAUAUGAACAACAUACGAUAUGGGGAAAGUGGGCGUGGCUAACAAAGUUCUCCGUUGCCAAGGAGAUCCAAAAGUUUACUUUUGUUGAUUCUUCUACAAAUGACAGACCACUUCGCCACCCGCAGACGACCAAAAAUAAUGAAAUGGUUGCUAUGGAGAUAAAACCAACAAAAGCCACCAUGAUGUAGAGGGAGAGAUGAGUGAGAUGCAUGUAGCAGCCACUCGGACAGCAGGGGCGGGUCAAAGGUGGGCGGCAAAGGCAGGGGUGGGUAGUGCCAACGCAGCUCCUGGCUUAAAUUCAAGUUUAUUACAGAUAAAUACUUUACUAGAAGCAGAAUGAAUGGAUCACAAUGUUUAGAAUACUGCGCUAGUUUGAGCAGGAUGCUCACAAAAUAUUCACCAGUUUAGACUUUUAAACUUCCGGAUUUAAAUUGACAGCAAGUGUCUCUAUUAGCUCCUCUUAACGCAAAUAACGACCUACAAAAGGCAUCCAAAAAUCUUUAGAAUGGGAUUUAAACAGAGAGGCAGCUGCCAAGGGACCGUCUACAAAGUGCAAGCUCUAGAAAGGAGUGAUAAAAAAAAUCAAUGCUGGCUAAAAACCAACCAAAAGGAAUGAAUGUUUACAUUGAUGUGUGCUAGUCAUCAAUACUAAACCUCAUAUUUAUACUACAAGAACAUCUUUAAAUUGCUAGAAUUUUUAUAAGGGAUAUGAAUCACAUGACCAAAAUUUUCUGAAGAUCCUGAGGUUGCAAACAUUCUUCACGUUACUAAUUAUCACUGGUUAAUAGUUGGACUUUGUAGAAGUGCCCUGUUUAAGAGUUAAAUAAUAAAAUAAGGUUAAUUAAUUUUAAAUUUGUUUCAUUUUGAAUGCGUUGGGACUAAGUAUCAGCAGAUUCUCAAAAUCGGACCACUCAGAACCGGGUCAGGGCCAAAAACACUGGAUCUGUUCAUCCCUGCUAAUAGAUCUUCAGUUCUGCUGCAGAAACAGGAAGUGAUGCUCAUCAGGACCAGCUCUGGAACCACCGCCCCACCUUCUGCGCCCAGACUCCACCUCGGCUCUUCACAUCCAUCUGCUGCACUUUUUUCUGCACAUCAUGGAUGUGAGCCGGAGAACCGGUCUGCUGCCACUGACGCUCACCUGUCUGUGGAUUGCAGGUUUUGCUGCAAACGAUGUGACCCAGACCCCCGCAGUGCUGACAGAACUGGGGGGCAAUGCAACGACGGAGUGCAGCCACGACAAGGGGGGCUUUUAUUUUUACAUGCUGUGGUUCAGGCAGCUGUCGGGGGGAACGAUGGAGCUGAUCGUCUCCACGACGGCGGGCCAAAGCGAGCACGAAUUUGGAGCUUUCAGCCAGGAGAAAUUCUCAGCCACAAAGGCGGGGGUCUCCAGAGGAACCCUGACGGUGAAGAACGUGCAGCCAGAAGACAGCGGCGUGUAUUUCUGCGCCGUGAGCCGUCACAGUGACGCAGAGAAGCACGGAAGCUGAACAAAAACCUCAAGCAGGAGCAGAAACAUCAAACGGACACUGCAAGCACUAAAAGCUAAGAUGUUAUGGAUAUUUAGGGCUCGUUGGUUAGAUGGAGAUCAGAUUCAGUUGAUGAAAAUAACAUCAACGAUUAUCUAUUUAUUAUUAUCUCUGAGUGGUUUUGCACGGUGGUGCAGUGGUUUGCCUCACAG
Oryzias latipes (Japanese medaka) is the source of this 2757-nucleotide non-coding RNA. The record is from the annotation of a RefSeq genome assembly. Lineage: Eukaryota; Metazoa; Chordata; Actinopteri; Beloniformes; Adrianichthyidae.